GAUGAACGCUGGCGGCGUGCCUAAUACAUGCAAGUCGAGCGAAUGGAUUAAGAGCUUGCUCUUAUGAAGUUAGCGGCGGACGGGUGAGUAACACGUGGGUAACCUGCCCAUAAGACUGGGAUAACUCCGGGAAACCGGGGCUAAUACCGGAUAACAUUUUGAACCGCAUGGUUCGAAAUUGAAAGGCGGCUUCGGCUGUCACUUAGGGCAGGACCCGGGUCGCAUUAGCUAGUUGGUGAGGGAACGGCUCACCAAGGCAACGAUGCGUAGCCGACCUGAGAGGGUGAUCGGCCACACUGGGACUGAGACACGGCCCAGACUCCUACGGGAGGCAGCAGUAGGGAAUCUUCCGCAAUGGACGAAAGUCUGACGGAGCAACGCCGCGUGAGUGAUGAAGGCUUUCGGGUCGUAAAACUCUGUUGUUAGGGAAGAACAAGUGCUAGUUGAAUAAGCUGGCACCUUGACGGUACCUAACCAGAAAGCCACGGCUAACUACGUGCCAGCCGCCGCCGUAA
Molecule: ribosomal RNA, 515 nt
Filed under: uncultured bacterium
Lineage: Bacteria
Description: partial 16S ribosomal RNA
Rfam family: Bacterial small subunit ribosomal RNA
Source: RNAcentral